UACACGUGGGGCAAGCGUUGUUCGGAAUUACUGGGCUUAAAGGGUGCGUAGGCGGUUUGUUAAGUCACUGGUGAAAGUUUUCGGCCCAACCGGAAAAUUGCCUGUGAUACUGGCGAACUUGAGUGCGUGAGGGGUGGGGGGAACGAGCAGUGUAGCGGUGAAAUGCGUAGAUAUUGCUCGGAAGGCCGGAGCCGAAGGGGCCCCACUGGUACGUAACUGACGCUGAGGCACGAAAGCGUGGGGAGCAAACAGG
RNAcentral lists this ribosomal RNA (253 nucleotides) under uncultured bacterium. Its description in RNAcentral is "partial 16S ribosomal RNA". It matches the Rfam family "Bacterial small subunit ribosomal RNA", at positions 524 to 776 of the family's 1533-position model. The record is from RNAcentral.